GAUGAAGAACGCAGCGAAAUGCGAUACUUGGUGUGAAUUGCAGAAUCCCGUGAACCAUCGAGUCUUUGAACACAAGUUGCGCCCGAAGCCACUAGGCCGAGGGCACGCCUGCCUGGGCGUCACACGCCGUUGCCCCCCCAUCUACUCCUUCGGGAUUGCGGGGGGGCGGAUGAUGGCCUCCUGUGCGCCUAGCCGCGCGGUUGGCAUAAAUACCAAGUCCUCGGCGACGCACGCCACGACAAUCGGUGGUUGCGAAACCUCGGUUGCCCGUCGUGUGCGUUCGUCGCGCAUCGAGGGCUCGAAAAAAUGCUCGGCUCCGGCUGGGCUUUCAACGCGACCCCAGGUCAGGCGGGGUUACCCGCUGAAUUUAAGCAUAUCAAUAAGCGGAGGA
RNAcentral lists this unclassified non-coding RNA (391 nucleotides) under soil metagenome. RNAcentral describes it as "partial contains 5.8S ribosomal RNA, internal transcribed spacer 2, and large subunit ribosomal RNA". The stretch from base 1 to 122 matches the Rfam family "5.8S ribosomal RNA", at positions 35 to 154 of the family's 154-position model. The record is from RNAcentral.